UACGUAGGGUGCAAGCGUUAAUCGGAAUUACUGGGCGUAAAGCGUGCGCAGGCGGUUUGGUAAGACAGAUGUGAAAUCCCCGGGCUUAACCUGGGAAUUGCAUUUGUGACUGCCCGGCUAGAGUGUGUCAGAGGGGGGUAGAAUUCCACGUGUAGCAGUGGAAUGCGUAGAGAUGUGGAGGAAUACCGAUGGCGAAGGCAGCCCCCUGGGAUAACACUGACGCUCAUGCACGAAAGCGUGGGGAGCAAACAGG
RNAcentral lists this ribosomal RNA (253 nucleotides) under uncultured bacterium. RNAcentral's name for it is "partial 16S ribosomal RNA". It matches the Rfam family "Bacterial small subunit ribosomal RNA", at positions 524 to 776 of the family's 1533-position model. The record is from RNAcentral.